This is a long non-coding RNA of Astatotilapia calliptera (eastern happy), 1546 nucleotides long. NCBI's taxonomy places the organism in Eukaryota, Metazoa, Chordata, Actinopteri, Cichliformes, Cichlidae. The record is from Ensembl.
ACACACAGGAAUAUGGGCAUCCUUCUUUGUGGGCUGCACAGGUAACUAAACGGCACAAAACAGAAAAAAACACAAGUUUUUGUUUUGUUUUUUUUAAAGGGAGGUCACCAACUCUCUUAAUCUCACACUUAAGAGAAAGCCUCAAAACUCCUCCCUUUUUAAAGUAAAGUAAAAUGACCCUUUAAGAGUCCAUUUAUGUGGUUUAUACCCACAUCCACUAUAAAACACAUUAACCUUCUAAACUGAGGCUUCGGUUUCACUUCAAGCGCUUUCAUCGCUUCCAGGUCUCAGCUGAGGUUAAUCAUCACACGACUAUAUCUCCUCUCUCCAAGCAGCGAGCAUUAGCCACAGUUAGCUGUGUCACAAUGGCAGCCAUAUUGGAUUACUGUGUUUUCACUAAACUUGUUUGCCCUCUCCCUCCCUCUCUCGCCGUCUCACAUUCCGUCCCUCACGCCCCUCGUCCCCCGGGAAACGGGGCCUCUCCGCUGCCAUGGUAAUGAAUGAGGGUGUUCAGCUGUAGGGGGAUUGGAGGCUGACAGUUACUGUGGAAACCUGACCUCACACCGCCCUCUGACACACUGUCUGUCCACGCGGGAGGGAAAAAAAAAAAAAUCACCAAAAUAAAAGUAUCGGCGUGAUGGAUGUUUGGCUGUCACAUGGUAGUUAAUCGAUAAAGGGAGGGCGUGGCUCACUGGCUUUGAUUGGCCCUCUUUGGGAAAUGGAGAGGGAGGCUAGCUGCUAUCAAUGCCGGACAGAUUCCACUUAGAGAUGCUUUUAUGCCCCAUCAAGACCAUUGAGUUUAAAAUCCACUUCCCUUCAUCCAAGUCCUGCAUGAAAUCCAAUCUCUCUGUCAAAGUUUAUCCACAUUUUCACCAUCUCUUUUUGCAUCAUUAUUAUCAUCAUCAUUAGUAGUAGUAGUAGUAGUAGCAGCAGCAGUAUUAUCAUCAUCAUUAUUACACGGUAAAGUGUCAGUUCAUCCACUGUCUGCAACAAGCCCUCCAACUUAAGUCAUCUUUCUUCUCAUUGGUUGUUCCUCACAAACAAAGGGUUUGAAUAAUAGGUCGGGUGGGGCAUCAAUGUUCCACUCUGACAUCAUAAAGACUGAAAGAGAGUCUUUUAGAGCCUUUGGAGCACCCAAGCCUUUAUUCCAAGUGAAACUGCAUGUGUGUCUUUUAGCUUAGGCAUUGGGUUAUAGAAAGCAAAAGACUAAUGGUAUGUGACAAAUGCACGAGUGUCAGAGCGUGAUAUUAAUGAUAAAGAGAUGCCAUACGUUUACUUUCAUAGUGCGCAUGAGACAAGCCCAGACAUGUGUUACAGCAAGAGGCAGCCUCCAAUAAUAAUUUAGUAACAGGGAGUCCCUUCAACAACCUCAAACAAAAAUUACAGCACUUUGCAAAAUAUGCGAGAAAGCUGUUCCCGCUAAAGGUGGAAACACUACACUUGUUUCAACACUUGUGGUAAAAAAGACACCACCAAGCUAUGACGCCAUGCGAGGAGGAGAUACUAGGAGCUGAUGAUAUGCUUGGAAAAAGUAAACAACGGAGAC